ACGGAGGGUGCAAGCGUUAUCCGGAAUCAUUGGGUUUAAAGGGUCCGCAGGCGGACGUAUAAGUCAGUGGUGAAAGCCUACAGCUUAACUGUAGAACUGCCAUUGAUACUGUACGUCUUGAAUUCGGUCGAAGUGGGCGGAAUGUGUCAUGUAGCGGUGAAAUGCAUAGAUAUGACACAGAACACCGAUAGCGAAGGCAGCUCACUAGGCCUGAAUUGACGCUCAGGGACGAAAGCGUGGGGAGCGAACAGG
Molecule: ribosomal RNA, 252 nt
Filed under: uncultured bacterium
Lineage: Bacteria
Description: partial 16S ribosomal RNA
Rfam family: Bacterial small subunit ribosomal RNA
Source: RNAcentral